This 61-nucleotide transfer RNA is filed under the name Nippostrongylus brasiliensis. It matches the Rfam family "tRNA", at positions 6 to 65 of the family's 71-position model. Rfam says of the family: Transfer RNA (tRNA) molecules are approximately 80 nucleotides in length. Their secondary structure includes four short double-helical elements and three loops (D, anti-codon, and T loops). Lineage: Eukaryota; Metazoa; Nematoda; Chromadorea; Rhabditida; Heligmosomidae. The record is from Rfam by way of RNAcentral.
AGUAGCAUAGUGGUUAGUGCACAGCCACGGAUAGGUUGAGACGCGGGUUCGAAUCCCGCCU